Molecule: ribosomal RNA, 196 nt
Filed under: uncultured bacterium
Lineage: Bacteria
Description: partial 16S ribosomal RNA
Rfam family: Bacterial small subunit ribosomal RNA
Source: RNAcentral
ACGCUCGACACCUACGGGGCAGCAGUGGGGAAUAUUGCACAAUGGGGGAAACCCGUGAUGCAGCGACGCCGCGUGAAGGAAGAAGUAUCUCGGUAUGUAAACUUCUAUCAGCAGGGAAGAAAAUGACGGUACCUGACUAAGAAGCCCCGGCUAACUACGUGCCGCAGCCGCGGUAAUCUGAGCGGGCUGGCAAGGC